Long non-coding RNA from Pipra filicauda (Wire-tailed manakin), 554 nucleotides. RefSeq lists it as uncharacterized. The record is from RefSeq and is a predicted model, not a curated record. Lineage: Eukaryota; Metazoa; Chordata; Aves; Passeriformes; Pipridae. The transcript is spliced from 2 exons.
UGCCACGCAGCUUCAUACCACCCCAGAACCAGCUGCCAGGGCUCAACAGAAAGCUGCUGCUUGUCGCCUGUUCUGAGAGGAAAUGUAUUGUACAGAGUGCUGCGGAGCUCUCCUAAGCCAGCUGAGCACUGUUUGCAAGUGGAGAGAUCACCACCACGGAGGGCUCUUCAUCACUCCAUGCCUUUCCACUUGGAAAAGGUGAAACCCUGCAUAUAAAAUGCUGAUGCAGUCACGUAUUACAGAGCACACUGCCUCCUUUUAACACCUAACUUUUCCCCUUUCUGUGCAGUCAUCAGACCUGUCUGCUUUUAAUGAGGGCUUGUGGGACUCUGGCAAACAUGACUCCAUCUAUCUGUUCCACUUCAAGGCUGUCAGUGUUCAUUUUAGGCUGCGUUUCUUGCAGCCAAUGUCUCUCCCUGGUAGAUGCCCUUUCAAGGUUUCUUCAAAUUAGGUCCACUCAGCAACACCAAAGCCAACAGAAGCAUUCACUGUCCAGUUACCUACAUAAACAAGUUUGUUCCUUGUGAUGAAAAAUAAAACAAAUGAAAAGUGAA